Long non-coding RNA from Paralichthys olivaceus (Japanese flounder), 1280 nucleotides. RefSeq lists it as uncharacterized. NCBI's taxonomy places the organism in Eukaryota, Metazoa, Chordata, Actinopteri, Pleuronectiformes, Paralichthyidae. The record is from RefSeq and is a predicted model, not a curated record.
CUUCCUUUCUGAAGUCUGCUCUGGUCGUGAGGGAGCCAUGGGCCUGCAUGUGGAAGAUCAACGUCAUGGCAUUGGUCCUCAAUGUGAUGGGGGAGUAAAUAACCAACACCGCUGAUCUUUUGAGACAUGAGGUGCUACAGAAGAUGUGGGGCCAUCUGGGUUUUCUCACCCCCCUGACCUUCAGCAUUAAUAUAGCAACACAAUGUUUGAGCUGCUACAAAGAAUGGCCUCCUAAUCCCAGACAGGGCAGAAAAUGAGCAGGGCUUCAACAACAGGAGGUCACUGUGAUGGCAGAAACAUGGCUCAAGAACUUGUGACAGUGGUUUAAGCUGCAACAAAGAAUGGCCCUCUGAUCCUGGACGUGAGCAGGGCUUCAACAACAACAGCAGAAAUAAUCUUCAAGAAACAACUUGAUGGUCAGCAGCCUUUCACUAUCAGAAAUGGCAAGAUGCUGCAGCUGUGAGGACACCUGUCUACCCGAAGCUGCUGUCACUCACCCAGGAAUAAAAAUAACUGUUGCUUCUGAGAAGCGUACAACUAAAAUCGGCUCCCAGUAUUGUAACAUACACUGCUAAAAACACUACGCAGCACUUAAUUGUCAUAUUAUAAUGACCAAUCAGUUAAACUUAAGGGAUAUCAAUCUGUCCAUCUAGGAAGCACAAGUGAUUGUGAAUCGAUUUCCCCUGUUUUGGUGUAAAUGAAAUUGACAACAGGUGCAAUGGAGAGGUAAAAGCAAGACAACUCCCAAAAAGGCAACGGUUUUACAUGUGGAGGCCACAGACAUUUGAUACAUCUUUAUCAUUCCUGGCUGAUCCUAGUUUUGUGUUGAUAGUGUCCAUGUCACUACUGGUAGCAUAAGGCUCAUGUUGCCAGAGUGUGUAGGCAGUUCCUGGAUGAUGAAGGCAUUGAUGCCAUUGAAUGGCCUCACGGUCCCCUGACCUAAAUCCAAUUGAGCACCUAUAGGAUGUUGUGUGCGCCAACUACCACCACAGACUGUCGAGAAACUCAUUGGUGCCCUGAUCAGGUCUGGAAGGAGAUCCCCCAGUACACCAUCCUCCAACUCAUCAGGAGCAGGCCCAGUUGUCAGGAGUGUAUACAGGACAUUUUGGUUUGACUGCCACGUCAUUUUGUUCUCAACAAAUUUUACAAUAUACACCAGUUAAGAUUUUCAACUUGAAUAAUUUGUUCAUCAAAAUCUGAUGUGAUUUCAGUAUUCACUGAAUGUUUUUAUAGCAGGUUAUUUGGCCUGUUUCUACUGUGUACCCAAUAAAGUGUCAUAA